GAAAUCCUAAUCAUCUUCUGUGAAUGGAUAAUACCCUUUUGACAGGUAUGAGAUGUUGAAUAAAUUCUUUCAUAGCUUAACAUCCUCUGUUAGAUUGCUUCUAUUGAAAGAAUCUAUGUCAACGGUUACGAAUAUUAGCCGUCAGGUUCAGAGCUUAACGGAGAGGAGUUUUGGUUAUAAUCAUUUAGGUUAGCUUAAGUUUAUUAUGCCAGAGGCAAUUGAGAUCAAGAUGAUCCUUAUUCGCGAUGAUCGGACGAAUUGUAUGAAGCCAGAUCUUCAUAUCACUUUGAAUUUCGUUAUAGUUGAAAACGACGAAAAUAUGAGUUCUGAUGGCGCUUAGUUCAAAACAAGUUCCAAUCGAAGACGUAGAAACAGAUAAGAAAGAAUCCAGUGUGUUAACUUCUGAACCUCAAGUUCACCAUAGCUCCAACAGAGAGAA
Molecule: long non-coding RNA, 439 nt
Filed under: Helianthus annuus (common sunflower)
Lineage: Eukaryota; Viridiplantae; Streptophyta; Magnoliopsida; Asterales; Asteraceae
Source: RNAcentral